Mastomys coucha (southern multimammate mouse) is the source of this 540-nucleotide long non-coding RNA. RefSeq lists it as uncharacterized. The record is from RefSeq and is a predicted model, not a curated record. NCBI's taxonomy places the organism in Eukaryota, Metazoa, Chordata, Mammalia, Rodentia, Muridae. The transcript is spliced from 3 exons.
GAAUGAAGCAACAACUAGGAUUUUCCUGUGUUAAAAGAAGAAGGACUACAGAAUCGUUCAAGCCUAGAAGGCAAAGAAACAAACCAAAGAAGGAAACAACUCCCUUUUCAGUCAAAGGCUUCUAAGACCAACUUUAGAAGACAUGUAAUUCUAAUAGCAUGAGUGAGUGGGUUAGAGUCAUGGUUCCAUCAACAGCAAAACUGUGCUGUGAGUCUGGGUCACAGGUGACCAGAGCCCUCAAAUAGUUAGACCUCACACCUGGGACAAACAGCUGAGAUGCCUCUUAACAUAUCAGAGCUGAUGCUGGCCACGUGGUUCUUCUGGUUACCCUCAGUCUCUACCAGUUACAGGAUCCUCCUUGCUUGCAUACCCUGCCCUCUACCCUGAAGUCUCUGGCCACAGGAUGGGUUGCCCUUCCUCCUGCUGCUCAUCCCCUAUAUAAUCCAAUCAUUUUGGCUUUACUGGACUACUAUGCUGUGAGGGUGAGAAGCAUCAAAGCUAACCCAAUCCCAGCAACCAGAAAGCAGAGAGCAGUGCGCC